This 513-nucleotide ribosomal RNA is filed under the name Nebria niitakana. RNAcentral's name for it is "partial 16S ribosomal RNA". The stretch from base 386 to 513 matches the Rfam family "Bacterial large subunit ribosomal RNA", at positions 2473 to 2600 of the family's 2925-position model. Lineage: Eukaryota; Metazoa; Arthropoda; Insecta; Coleoptera; Carabidae. The record is from RNAcentral.
GUCCUUUAGAAUUUAAUUAUAGGUCUAACCUGCCCACUGAAUUUUAAAUGGCCGCAGUAAUUUGACUGUGCAAAGGUAGCAUAAUCAUUAGUUUUUUAAUUAAAAGCUUGUAUGAAAGGUUGGACGAAGUAAAAUCUGUCUCUAUAUAAUUUAAAUUAGAAUUUAACUUUUAAGUUAAAAGGCUUAAAUUUAAUUAAAAGACGAGAAGACCCUAUAGAUCUUUAUAAUUUAUUUAUUAGAUUUGAUUAGGAAUAUUUUUAAUUUUAUUAAUAUAAUUAUUUUAUUGGGGUAAUAUAAAGAUUAAAAUAAUUCUUUUUUUUUAUUUACAUUAAUUUAUGAUUUUAAUGAUCCAGUUUUAUUGAUUAUAAGAUUAAGUUACCUUAGGGAUAACAGCGUAAUUUUUUUUGAGAGUUCUUAUCGAUAAAAAAGUUUGCGACCUCGAUGUUGGAUUAAAGAUUAUUUCAGGUGUAGAAGUUUGAAAAUUUUGGUCUGUUCGACCAUUAAAUCUUUACA